This 519-nucleotide ribosomal RNA is filed under the name uncultured bacterium. RNAcentral's name for it is "bacterial SSU rRNA". It matches the Rfam family "Bacterial small subunit ribosomal RNA", at positions 8 to 518 of the family's 1533-position model. The record is from RNAcentral.
AGAGUUUGAUCCUGGCUCAGGAUGAACGCUAGCGACAGGCUUAACACAUGCAAGUCGAGGGGCAGCAUAAAAGUAGCAAUACUUUGGUGGCGACCGGCGCACGGGUGAGUAACGCGUAUGCAACCUACCUAUCAGAGGGGAAUAACCCGGCGAAAGUCGGACUAAUACCGCAUAAAACAGGGGCACCGCAUGGUGAUAUUUGUUAAAGAAAUUCGCUGAUAGAUGGGCAUGCGUUCCAUUAGGUAGUUGGUGAGGUAACGGCUCACCAAGCCGACGAUGGAUAGGGGAACUGAGAGGUUGGUCCCCCACACUGGUACUGAGCCACGGACCAGACUCCUACGGGAGGCAGCAGUGAGGAAUAUUGGUCAAUGGGCGGGAGCCUGAACCAGCCAAGUCGCCGUGAAGGAAGAAGGAUCUAUGGUUCGUAAACUUCUUUUGCAGGGGAAUAAAGUGCAGGACGUGUCCUGUUUUGUAUGUACCCUGAGAAUAAGGAUCGGCUAACUCCGUGCCAGCCGCCGC